Molecule: ribosomal RNA, 253 nt
Filed under: uncultured bacterium
Lineage: Bacteria
Description: partial 16S ribosomal RNA
Rfam family: Bacterial small subunit ribosomal RNA
Source: RNAcentral
UACUUAGGGUGCGAGCGUUAAUCGGAAUUACAGGGCGUAAAGCGUGCGCAGGCGGCUUUGCAAGACAGAUGUGAAAUCCCCGGGCUCAACCUGGGAACUGCAUUUGUGACUGCAAGGCUAGAGUACGGCAGAGGGGGAUGGAAUUCCGCGUGUAGCAGUGAAAUGCGUAGAUAUGCGGAGGAACACCAAUGGCGAAGGCAAUCCCCUGGGCCUGUACUGACGCUCAUGCACGAAAGCGUGGGGAGCAAACAGG